This 1130-nucleotide long non-coding RNA is filed under the name Homo sapiens (human). RNAcentral's name for it is "HSALNT0347825". The record is from RNAcentral. Lineage: Eukaryota; Metazoa; Chordata; Mammalia; Primates; Hominidae.
CAAUCAGCGAGACUCCAUGGGCGUAGGACCCUCUGAGCCAGAGGCUGAGUAGUCUCAAGAUCUGAAGACAGCAGAAACCUGGGAAAGUUAAUGAUAUACGUUGUUAUACUCCAAGUGUGAGUCUGAAGACAAGGGAAGACCAACGUCCAAGCUUGAAGACAGUCAGAUAGAAUCAUUCUGCAGCCUGGCUAAGGAUGAAGAUAACUGAUAAACUAUUAUAUACCAAAAAGAUGUUGACAUGGAAAUUUUACCAAGCCUCCACCCCCAGAGUUAGGGUUGUUCGAAAGAGUAUCUCUUGUCUAGAGCUAUGGCUAUGUCACAAGCAAAAGAGCUGAAGGUUGAAAGGUAAAUAAGCACAAAGGAAUCAUCAGUACAAAGAGAGACUGUGACAAGACUAGACAAUUCUAUUCAAAAUUUUGAGAACUGGAGUAUAACAAAUGAGAAUGAAGAAACCAAUGAUGGAAACAUCAAGAUGAGGCCCAAUGGACCAUUAGGAGGUGGGUCUAUAAAAACUCUGAAGACAACACCAUGCUACUUGUUGCUGGCUUCUGUAUGUUAUUUCUGACACAAUGCUUAGGCAGUCUUGCUCCACUAAGAAAAAGCUGGUAGAACACAUAUAGACACUAAUAAUACGUUAAUUAUAUUAAAAAUAGGGGGCUUAUUUUAAAAUACAACUUAACUAAUAGAGUGAAAACAAUACACUGGUUGUCGUUAAACUUCCCCUUUUCUUCAUUCAUCAAAAGUGUAUCUACUGAAUACCUAACAUAAAGAAAUCAUUUAUACUGGGGUAAAUUACACAUCAAUCUAAACUUCCAGAAAAUUUUAUUCAUUAUAUAAAGUUAAAUAAGGUUGUAAAUAUCUAGAGUCCAAGGUGAAUGUGGUAUAUAUCAUAAGCGAUGUACAAAAAACAUACUGUCCGGGCACUGUGACUCAGGCCUGUAAUCCCAGUACUUUGGGAGGUCAAGGUGGGAGGAUUGCUUGAGCCCAGGAGUUUGAAACCAGCCUGGCCAACAGGGCGAAAUCCCAUCUCUACAAAAAAUACAAACAUUUGUCGGGUAUGGUGGUGCAGGACUGUAGUCCUACCUAUUCUGGAGGCUGAGGCGGGAAGAUCACUUGAUCCUAGGAGGCAG